Long non-coding RNA from Lutra lutra (Eurasian river otter), 115 nucleotides. RefSeq lists it as uncharacterized. The transcript is spliced from 2 exons. The record is from RefSeq and is a predicted model, not a curated record. Lineage: Eukaryota; Metazoa; Chordata; Mammalia; Carnivora; Mustelidae.
UAACUCCAUGAUCAGUACUGUCUUGCCAACUCCAGCACCACCAAAAAGCCCUGGAAUAGGUUGAAAAGAAGCAAUAUUUAAGAAGUUCUGUGUUCCCAAAUAAGAAAACUUACAG